RNAcentral lists this ribosomal RNA (253 nucleotides) under uncultured bacterium. RNAcentral describes it as "partial 16S ribosomal RNA". It matches the Rfam family "Bacterial small subunit ribosomal RNA", at positions 524 to 776 of the family's 1533-position model. The record is from RNAcentral.
UACGGAGGGAGCUAGCGUUGUUCGGAAUUACUGGGCGUAAAGCGCGCGCAGGCGGUCUCUCAAGUCAGUGGUGAAAUCCCGGAGCUCAACUCCGGAACUGCCAUUGAAACUGUUAGACUUGAGGUCGAGAGAGGUGAGUGGAAUUCCGAGUGUAGAGGUGAAAUGCGUAGAUAUUCGGAGGAACACCAGUGGCGAAGGCGGCUCACUGGCUCGAUACUGACGCUGAGGUGCGAAAGCGUGGGGAGCAAACAGG